Molecule: unclassified non-coding RNA, 432 nt
Filed under: soil metagenome
Description: partial contains 5.8S ribosomal RNA, internal transcribed spacer 2, and large subunit ribosomal RNA
Rfam family: 5.8S ribosomal RNA (bases 1-120)
Source: RNAcentral
GAUGAAGAACGUAGCGAAAUGCGAUACGUAAUGUGAAUUGCAGAAUUCAGUGAAUCAUCGAAUCUUUGAACGCAUAUUGCGCUCUCUGGUAUUCCGGAGAGCAUGCUUGUUUGAGUAUCAGUAAACACCUCAACUUCCAUAUCUUUUUUGAAAUGGGAGUUGGACUUGAGUGAUCCCAACGCUUUUCCUCACCGAAAAGUGGCGGGUUACUUGAAAUGCAGGUGCAGCUGGACUUUUCUCUGAGCUAUAAGCAUAUCUAUUUAGUCUGCCUAAAAAACAGAUUAUUACCUUUGCUGCAGCUAACAUAAAGGAGAUUAGUUCUUGUGCUGACUGAUGCAGGAUUCACAAAAACGGCUUCGGCCGACUUUGUAAACUCGAUCUCAAAUCAAGUAAGACUAACCGCUGAACUUAAGCAUAUCAAUAAGCGGAGGA